AUGCCAUGAUGAGGACAUAUUUUGAGCAACUCUUUAAAUCUCUCACAAGCUUCAUACAAGCUUCAUACAAGAGGACAUAUAAACUCUUUAAUGCCAUGAUAAAGGUU
The sequence is a small nucleolar RNA, 107 nucleotides long. It matches the Rfam family "Plant small nucleolar RNA R71". Rfam says of the family: R71 is a member of the C/D box family of snoRNAs containing the C (UGAUGA) and D (CUGA) box motifs. Multiple nearly identical copies of this snoRNA have been identified in Arabidopsis, and it is thought to function as a 2'-O-ribose methylation guide for 18S ribosomal RNA. The record is from Rfam.